CCUACGGGUGGCAGCAGUGAGGAAUAUUGGUCAAUGGACGAGAGUCUGAACCAGCCAAGUAGCGUGAAGGAUGACUGCCCUAUGGGUUGUAAACUUCUUUUAUAUGGGAAUAAAACGUUCCACGUGUGGGAUUUUGUAUGUACCAUAUGAAUAAGGAUCGGCUAACUCCGUGCCAGCAGCCGCGGUAAUACGGAGGAUCCGAGCGUUAUCCGGAUUUAUUGGGUUUAAAGGGAGCGUAGGUGGAUUGUUAAGUCAGUUGUGAAAGUUUGCGGCUCAACCGUAAAAGUGCAGUUGAAACUGGCAGUCUUGAGUACAGUAGAGGUGGGCGGAAUUCGUGGUGUAGCGGUGAAAUGCUUAGAUAUCACGAAGAACUCCGAUUGCGAAGGCAGUUCACUGGACUGCAACUGACACUGAGGCUCGAAAGUGUGGGUAUCAAACAGGAUUAGAUACCCUUGUAGUC
This 460-nucleotide ribosomal RNA is filed under the name uncultured bacterium. RNAcentral describes it as "partial 16S ribosomal RNA". It matches the Rfam family "Bacterial small subunit ribosomal RNA", at positions 338 to 795 of the family's 1533-position model. The record is from RNAcentral.